Molecule: ribosomal RNA, 253 nt
Filed under: uncultured bacterium
Lineage: Bacteria
Description: partial 16S ribosomal RNA
Rfam family: Bacterial small subunit ribosomal RNA
Source: RNAcentral
UACGUAGGGUGCGAGCGUUGUCCGGAAUUAUUGGGCGUAAAGAGCUCGUAGGCGGUUUGUCACGUCUGCUGUGAAAUCCCGAGGCUCAACCUCGGGCCUGCAGUGGGUACGGGCAGACUGGAGUGCGGUAGGGGAGACUGGAAUUCCUGGUGUAGCGGUGGAAUGCGCAGAUAUCAGGAGGAACACCGAUGGCGAAGGCAGGUCACUGGGCCGCAACUGACGCUGAGGAGCGAAAGCAUGGGGAGCGAACAGG